UAGCGGAGGAAAAGAAACCAACAGGGAUUGCCCUAGUAACGGCGAGUGAAGCGGCAACAGCUCAAAUUUGAAAUCUGGCUCUUUCAGAGUCCGAGUUGUAAUUUGCAGAGGGCGCUUUGGCUUUGGCAGCGGUCCAAGUUCCUUGGAACAGGACGUCACAGAGGGUGAGAAUCCCGUACGUGGUCGCUAGCUAUUGCCGUGUAAAGCCCCUUCGACGAGUCGAGUUGUUUGGGAAUGCAGCUCUAAAUGGGAGGUAAAUUUCUUCUAAAGCUAAAUAUUGGCCAGAGACCGAUAGCGCACAAGUAGAGUGAUCGAAAGAUGAAAAGCACUUUGGAAAGAGAGUCAAACAGCACGUGAAAUUGUUGAAAGGGAAGCGCUUGCAGCCAGACUUGCUUGCAGUUGCUCAUCCGGGCUUUUGCCCGGUGCACUCUUCUGUAGGCAGGCCAGCAUCAGUUUGGGCGGUGGGAUAAAGGUCUCUGUCACGUACCUCUCUUCGGGGAGGCCUUAUAGGGGAGACGACAUACCACCAGCCUAGACUGAGGUCCGCGCAUCUGCUAGGAUGCUGGCGUAAUGGCUGUAAGCGGCCCGUCUUGAAACCC
Molecule: ribosomal RNA, 599 nt
Filed under: Bipolaris oryzae
Lineage: Eukaryota; Fungi; Ascomycota; Dothideomycetes; Pleosporales; Pleosporaceae
Description: partial large subunit ribosomal RNA
Rfam family: Eukaryotic large subunit ribosomal RNA
Source: RNAcentral